AGUCAGCUGGCGAGUCCCGAAUAAGACGAAAUGGACAUCCUGAAU
RNAcentral lists this non-coding RNA (45 nucleotides) under Trichobilharzia regenti. The record is from RNAcentral. Lineage: Eukaryota; Metazoa; Platyhelminthes; Trematoda; Strigeidida; Schistosomatidae.